Glossina fuscipes is the source of this 726-nucleotide long non-coding RNA. RefSeq lists it as uncharacterized. The record is from RefSeq and is a predicted model, not a curated record. Lineage: Eukaryota; Metazoa; Arthropoda; Insecta; Diptera; Glossinidae. The transcript is spliced from 2 exons.
CGAAAAAAUUAAACAAAAUAUACAAAAAAAUUAAAAUUAAUUAUAUAAACUGUUAUUUCUGUGUUGUGUUAGUUUACUGUGUAAUUUGCUAAAUAAAGUAAAGUUUUUAUCACACUUUCAUUUUCAGUUUCAAAUUCAUAAUUGACUUUUUCAGCUGGUCUUGGUAACGUAAUUGGAGCUAAAAAAAAACUUUUACACUGCAUCUGAAUAAAUUUGCUUUAUGGUAGCGUAUAACAUUAUGGUGACGGGCGCUAAGUCAAAGCAGAUAUAAUCUUUUUGGCAACCGUCCACGGCAAGACGGGCCAUCACAACACGAUUCCCACGACGUUGUCGACACACUUAAAUCGUCUGCCUGCAACGAGCUUUGUCAGAAUAACAGGUUUCGUUGAGAACUACGUAUUCCGCCGUGACGGGUGUAAGAAUUAAUUAACCUUUAGGUUUAGUAUAACUGAAGAAAAUAAUUCCUUUUUAACUACAUAAGAAAUAUUUGUAUUAAACGCACUAUUAUCUCACUAUUAUUAUUUUGAGAAUACUCCAACUACGAGUUUUCUAUGUUUCUGUGUUAAAUUCCAAUCUUGUCAUUGUUCCAAGUAAUCGUAAACAGGUUUUUAUUUAAUAAAAUUCUAUUUUAUACUAUAACUACAUGUAGGUGGAAUGGUAUUAACUGCUUCAGUUAGCCCUUUGCCAACUUAUUUAUCUAGUUGGAGCAAAAGUUAAGUUAUGUAA